UACAGAGGUCUCAAGCGUUGUUCGGAUUCAUUGGGCGUAAAGGGUGCGUAGGCGGCGAGGUAAGUCGGAUGUGAAAUCCCGGGGCUCAACCCCGGAACUGCAUUCGAUACUGCUUUGCUCGAGUACUGGAGAGGAGACUGGAAUUUACGGUGUAGCAGUGAAAUGCGUAGAUAUCGUAAGGAAGACCAGUGGCGAAGGCGAGUCUCUGGACAGUUACUGACGCUGAGGCACGAAGGCCAGGGGAGCAAACGGG
RNAcentral lists this ribosomal RNA (253 nucleotides) under uncultured bacterium. RNAcentral's name for it is "partial 16S ribosomal RNA". It matches the Rfam family "Bacterial small subunit ribosomal RNA", at positions 524 to 776 of the family's 1533-position model. The record is from RNAcentral.